GAGUUUGAUCGUGGCUCAGGAUGAACGCUGGCGGCGUGGAUAAGGCAUGCAAGUCGUACGAUUCCUUUGGUUUUAGCAAUAAAAUUUUUGGAAUAGUGGCAAACGGGUUAGUAACGCGUAGGAACAUACCUCGAAGACGGGGAUAACCAGCCGAAAGGUUGGCUAAUACCCGAUGGUCCCGCAAGGGUAAAGCAGCAAUGCGCUUCGAGAGUGGCCUGCGUACUAUCAGCUAGUUGGUAGGGUAAUGGCCUACCAAGGCUAUGACGGUUAGGGGGACUGAGAGGUCGGCCCCCAACAUCGGGACUGAGACACUGCCCGGACUCCUACGGGAGGCUGCAGUCGAGAAUCUUCCGCAAUGCACGAAAGUGUGACGGAGCGACGCCGCGUGAGCGAUGAAGGACUUCGGUCUGUAAAGCUCUUUUUACUGGGAGCAAUUUUUGAGUUAACCAGUAGAAUAAGGGACUGCUAAACUCGUGCCAGCCGCCGCAGU
RNAcentral lists this ribosomal RNA (490 nucleotides) under uncultured bacterium. RNAcentral describes it as "bacterial SSU rRNA". It matches the Rfam family "Bacterial small subunit ribosomal RNA", at positions 9 to 521 of the family's 1533-position model. The record is from RNAcentral.